CCUACGGGUGGCUGCAGUGAGGAAUAUUGGUCAAUGGACGAGAGUCUGAACCAGCCAAGUAGCGUGAAGGAUGACUGCCCGAUGGGUUGUAAACUUCUUUUAUAUGGGAAUAAAGUGGUCCACGAGUGGGAGUUUGUAUGUACCAUAUGAAUAAGGAUCGGCUAACUCCGUGCCAGCAGCCGCGGUAAUACGGAGGAUCCGAGCGUUAUCCGGAUUUAUUGGGGUUAAAGGGGGCGUAGGUGGAUUGUUAAGUCAGUUGUGAAAGGUUGCGGCGCAACCGUAAGAGUGCCGUUGAAACUGGCAGUCUUGAGUACAGUAGAGGUGGGCGGAAUUCGUGGUGUAGCGGUGAAAUGCUUAGAUAUCGCGAAGAACUCCGAUUGCGAAGGCAGCUCACUGGCCUGCAACUGACACUGAGGCUCGAAAGUGUGGGUAUCAAACAGGAUUAGAUACCCUAGUAGUC
This 460-nucleotide ribosomal RNA is filed under the name uncultured bacterium. RNAcentral describes it as "partial 16S ribosomal RNA". It matches the Rfam family "Bacterial small subunit ribosomal RNA", at positions 338 to 795 of the family's 1533-position model. The record is from RNAcentral.